Molecule: non-coding RNA, 1007 nt
Organism: Cinara cedri
Lineage: Eukaryota; Metazoa; Arthropoda; Insecta; Hemiptera; Aphididae
Source: the annotation of a GenBank genome assembly
UUUUUUUUUUUUUGCUCGUCCGGUUCGUCGAAACUUUUUAAAACUUGUAAGUUUUAAUCCAAAAAUAAUUCAUUCGAUAUUAAUUUUUUGAAUAUUUAUACCUACAGUAUUUCCAUAAUUUUUUACUUUUGUUUGUUUUUUUUUUUUUUUUAUUAUUAUGACAAUAAUGCAAAUUAAUUGAUUUAUUAAAUAUUUAUAUAUAUAUAUAUAUAUUAAAUAAUUGGUUCACAUGCAAAAAUAUAAAACCAAUAUAUAUUUUAAAAAUACAAUUAAGUUGAAAAUGUUCGAAUUUUACAAAUAUUUGUUGUACAAAAUGGUUUUUUUUUUAUCGUGAACCAGAAAUUUUCUGGAAAGAUUUCAAAUGAAUUUGAUUUAUGUUUUUUUUUUUUUUUAAAGAAAAUUCUAAAUUUAGCGAAGCAUGUAUUGUUUUUACAAAAAUAUUUAUUUUUGUUUUUAUGCAUUUUUCCUGAAAGAAAGUGUUCUCUGGGUGCUACUGUAGAGAGGUCAUUUUUUUGAAAUUCUCAUUAAUAUUCGAGAUAACGAGAAAAACCUGGUUCUUUUGAUUAAAAAAGAUUGAACGAUAAGAAAUACGGUUACCAUUGGCAACCGCUUUAAUUUAUUUUUUGUUAAUAUUAAAUUAUUAUCAUUUUAAUAUUUUUUAUACAACCAUUUUUGUCGUAGAAACGCACAUUGUGGUAAUUAUUUUACUAUAAUAUGGCAUAUAUGUUGUUGAAAAAACAACACUAUCAACUGAACACCGCUUAGAAUCGUUUUUUCGUUAGCAAUGGUUUAUCGUUGCUUACAGAUCAUAGGCUUUCACACGGAGGCAGGAUAUGCUGCCCCUAGACCUUCUUUGGGGCUACCACGGCCGGCAAAUAUUGAAUCAUGGACCUCGGCAAAAUUAUAUUUCCACAAAUAAUAAUGACCAGUAGCGAUCAGUGAGUCGGUGGUAUUUGAAUUUUAUAUAUAUAGAUAAUAAAAAAAGUUUAUAAAUAUUAAUAAGAGCU